AUUGAACGCUGGCGGCAGGCCUAACACAUGCAAGUCGAGCGGAAGAAGGGAGCUUGCUCCUGGAUUCAGCGGCGGACGGGUGAGUAAUGCCUAGGAAUCUGCCUGGCAGUGGGGGAUAACGUCCGGAAACGGGCGCUAAUACCGCAUACGUCCUGAGGGAGAAAGUGGGGGAUCUUCGGACCUCACGCUAUCAGAUGAGCCUAGGUCGGAUUAGCUAGUUGGUGGGGUAAAGGCCUACCAAGGCGACGAUCCGUAACUGGUCUGAGAGGAUGAUCAGUCACACUGGAACUGAGACACGGUCCAGACUCCUACGGGAGGCAGCAGUGGGGAAUAUUGGACAAUGGGCGAAAGCCUGAUCCAGCCAUGCCGCGUGUGUGAAGAAGGUCUUCGGAUUGUAAAGCACUUUAAGUUGGGAGGAAGGGCAGUAAGUUAAUACCUUGCUGUUUUGACGUUACCAACAGAAUAAGCACCGGCUAACUUCGUG
Molecule: ribosomal RNA, 484 nt
Filed under: uncultured bacterium
Lineage: Bacteria
Description: partial 16S ribosomal RNA
Rfam family: Bacterial small subunit ribosomal RNA
Source: RNAcentral